UAAAUACCGAACAAUUUUUUU
RNAcentral lists this non-coding RNA (21 nucleotides) under Caenorhabditis elegans. The record is from RNAcentral. Lineage: Eukaryota; Metazoa; Nematoda; Chromadorea; Rhabditida; Rhabditidae.